CGUUCCUCUUGGAGCGGGUCUCUCCAGUUCUGCCUCUCUAGAGGUGGCGAUGUAUACCUUCCUCGAGGCACUUACUGGACGAAAGGCAAAGAGCCUGCGCGAAAAGGCGCUGCAGUGUCAGAAGGCGGAGCACGAGUUUCCCGGAAUGCCCUGCGGCAUUAUGGACCAGUUCAUUUCGGCCAUGGGACGAAAGGACAACGCUCUCCUUAUUGACUGCAGGUCUCUGGAGUCAACUCUAUAGUUCCACUGGCCGACCACCAGGUGGCAGUGCUGAUCACCAACUCCAAUGUUCGCCACACACUGACUGGAUCAGAAUACCCCAGCCGACGACGAGCCUGCUUCAAAACGGCAAAAGUACUCGGCGUCAAAUCACUGCGAGAAGCCACCAUGGAACUCC
Amphibalanus amphitrite is the source of this 397-nucleotide long non-coding RNA. RefSeq lists it as uncharacterized. The record is from RefSeq and is a predicted model, not a curated record. The transcript has 3 exons. Lineage: Eukaryota; Metazoa; Arthropoda; Thecostraca; Balanomorpha; Balanidae.